Molecule: RNA transcript, 1155 nt
Organism: Cavia porcellus (domestic guinea pig)
Lineage: Eukaryota; Metazoa; Chordata; Mammalia; Rodentia; Caviidae
Gene: Mrps11
Gene name: mitochondrial ribosomal protein S11
Exons: 7
Source: RefSeq, a predicted model, not a curated record
GUGGUUGAAAUUCUCGGGUUAAGAAAUUUAAAAGAGGAAGAGUUCCCAGAUAAACACGCAACGAUAGCUUCUAUUGAGCACUUAAAUUUGGAAAACACUUAAGGCGCCUAAUAAAGAGCAACAAGAAGAAUUGUCUUCUGUACCCUCCCUCGCAGGCAUUAGUGGUGUGGGCGUCUCUCUAGCUAGGUCGACGCCACCGACGGGUGCUGCCUGGGGUCAAAUUCAAGACAUGCAGUUUGUGAGAAACGCGAGGUCUUGGAUCCCGCGGUCAUGGACUCAGCCCCUGACGACCAGGGUUGUGACCGGUGUCCCAGCCCGGACCAUCCACACUGACGCCCAGGAGAUGCAAGAUGCGGCUGCCAAACAGGAAAUUGAGAAGGAGCCUCCAAGGCAGAGCAGAUUCAGCAUUUUCCCUCCAGUUCCAGGAGAAGAGAGCUCCCUGCAGUGGGCAGGGAAGAAAUUUGAAGAGAUCCCAAUUGCACAUAUUAAAGCGACCUACAACAACACACAGAUCCAGGUGGUCUCCUCCUCCAACGUGCCCCUGGCCCGAGCUUCCUGUGGCACGGAAGGGUUUCGGAACGCCAAGAAGGGCACGGGCAUCGCAGCGCAGACGGCAGGCAUCGCGGCCGCGGCGAAAGCUACAGUGAAGGGUGUGACCCACGUCCGAGUUGUGGUGAAAGGCCUGGGCCCUGGGCGCUGGGUGUGAUCUGAGAGGAGACGGCGUUGAGAACUUGGGUCCGGGCCUGGCAGGAGCCCUUUGUGAGCGGAGGUCUGCCAUCAAGGGCCUGACCAUGGGCGGCCUGGAAGUGAUCUCAAUCACAGACAACACCCCUCACCCACACAACGGCUGCCGCCCCAGGAAGGCCCGGAGGCUGUGAGGGAAGGUGACUGCACUGGAACCCGACCUCAGCUCACCUCUGGCCCGACCACGCAGAAAGCUGACUGGAGGAGCAGCCUCCACAAAAGGGCUCACUGUAGCCCUGCGCUCUCCAAAGGCUCCCCUCACUGCAGCCUCUGCCCGCAUCCCCCAGCAGAGGAGGGUGCGCCCCAUGAGCCACGCCAUGCCUCCUGUAGGUACAAAGGGAGCUGUGGGGACAGCGGGGGCCCAGGUUCCCGGCUAUGAGGAAAUAAAGAACUCUCGGACUGUCUGUAUAA